ACAUGUUAUCUCUUUCUGAAUGCAUCUGAUCUCGUCUGAUCUCCAAAGCUAAGCAGGGUUGGGCCUGGUUAGUACUUGGAUGGGAAAUGUA
This 91-nucleotide ribosomal RNA is filed under the name Carlito syrichta (Philippine tarsier). The record is from RNAcentral. Lineage: Eukaryota; Metazoa; Chordata; Mammalia; Primates; Tarsiidae.